GUCCGGUAUGGCCUACCAGGCGACGACGGGUAGCCGGCCUGAGAGGGUGUCCGGCCACACUGGGACUGAGAUACGGCCCAGACUCCUACGGGAGGCAGCAGUGGGGAAUAUUGCACAAUGGGCGCAAGCCUGAUGCAGCGACGCCGCGUGAGGGAUGACGGCCUUCGGGUUGUAAACCUCUUUCAGCUACGACGAAGCGCAAGUGACGGUAGUGGCAGAAGAAGCACCGGCCAACUACGUGCCAGCAGCCGCGGCCG
RNAcentral lists this ribosomal RNA (257 nucleotides) under uncultured Mycobacterium sp. Its description in RNAcentral is "partial 16S ribosomal RNA". It matches the Rfam family "Bacterial small subunit ribosomal RNA", at positions 252 to 523 of the family's 1533-position model. Lineage: Bacteria; Bacillati; Actinomycetota; Actinomycetes; Mycobacteriales; Mycobacteriaceae. The record is from RNAcentral.